This 528-nucleotide ribosomal RNA is filed under the name uncultured bacterium. RNAcentral describes it as "partial 16S ribosomal RNA". It matches the Rfam family "Bacterial small subunit ribosomal RNA", at positions 355 to 873 of the family's 1533-position model. The record is from RNAcentral.
UGGGGAAUAUUGGACAAUGGGGGCAACCCUGAUCCAGCCAUGCCGCGUGUGUGAAGAAGGCCUUUUGGUUGUAAAGCACUUUAAGCAGGGAGGAGAGGCUAAUGGUUAAUACCCAUUAGAUUAGACGUUACCUGCAGAAUAAGCACCGGCUAACUCUGUGCCAGCAGCCGCGGUAAUACAGAGGGUGCGAGCGUUAAUCGGAAUUACUGGGCGUAAAGCGAGUGUAGGUGGCUCAUUAAGUCACAUGUGAAAUCCCCGGGCUUAACCUGGGAACUGCAUGUGAUACUGGUGGUGCUAGAAUAUGUGAGAGGGAAGUAGAAUUCCAGGUGUAGCGGUGAAAUGCGUAGAGAUCUGGAGGAAUACCGGUGGCGAAGGCAGCUUCCUGGCAUAACAUUGACACUGAGAUUCGAAAGCGUGGGUAGCAAACAGGAUUAGAUACCCUGGUAGUCCACGCCGUAAAACGAUGUCUACUAGCCGUUGGGGUCCUUGAGACUUUAGUGGCGCAGUUAACGCGAUAAGUAGACCGCC